This 225-nucleotide long non-coding RNA is filed under the name Manihot esculenta (cassava). RNAcentral describes it as "long non-coding RNA (MESC_LNC000152)". Lineage: Eukaryota; Viridiplantae; Streptophyta; Magnoliopsida; Malpighiales; Euphorbiaceae. The record is from RNAcentral.
UCCCAUCAAACUCAAUCUUGAAAAAUUAAUAAUUUCAAUAUUUGGCCGACCUGCUGCAGUCCGAUCUCGAACAUGGUUCCGACCUCGACGUGUAAUAAUACUGUGAUUGUUGGAUUUGCCGAGCUUCUUUUCAGUCCUGCUAUUUCGGUCAGCGAAACCAUUGAUGGUCCUAUUAGUGGUGUUUGAUUGGUCGUCCUCUCGACGGUCAGAUGGACUAAUGCCGAC